UGCGUAGGUGGCGGAGUAAGUCGGAUGUGAAAUCUCCGAGCUCAACUCGGAAAUGGCAUUGGAAACUACUCUGCUCGAGGAUUGGAGGGGGGACUGGAAUACUUGGUGUAGCAGUGAAAUGCGUAGAUAUCAAGUGGAACACCAGUGGCGAAGGCGAGUCCCUGGACAACUCCUGACACUGAGGCACGAAAGCUAGGGGAGCAAACAGGAUUAGAUACCCUGGUAGUCCUAGCCGUAAACGGUGCACGUUUGCUGUAAAAGGAAUCGACCCCUUUUGUGGCGUAGCCAACGCGUUAAACGUGCCGCCUGGGAAGUACGGUCGCAAGAUUAAA
This 332-nucleotide ribosomal RNA is filed under the name uncultured bacterium. Its description in RNAcentral is "bacterial SSU rRNA". It matches the Rfam family "Bacterial small subunit ribosomal RNA", at positions 568 to 898 of the family's 1533-position model. The record is from RNAcentral.